GACGAACGCUGGCGGCGUGCUUAACACAUGCAAGUCGAACGCUGAAGCUCAGCUUUUGUUGGGUGGAUGAGUGGCGAACGGGUGAGUAACACGUGGGUAACCUGCCCCCUUCUUUGGGAUAACGCCCGGAAACGGGUGCUAAUACUGGAUAUUCACUGGUCUUCGCAUGGGGGUUGGUGGAAAGGGUUUUUCUGGUGGGGGAUGGGCUCGCGGCCUAUCAGCUUGUUGGUGGGGUGAUGGCCUACCAAGGCUUUGACGGGUAGCCGGCCUGAGAGGGUGACCGGUCACAUUGGGACUGAGAUACGGCCCAGACUCCUACGGGAGGCAGCAGUGGGGAAUAUUGCACAAUGGGCGCAAGCCUGAUGCAGCGACGCCGCGUGAGGGAUGGAGGCCUUCGGGUUGUGAACCUCUUUCGCUCAUGGUCAAGCCGCAACAAUGGUUGUGGUGAGGGUAGUGGGUAAAGAAGCGCCGGCUAACUACGUG
Molecule: ribosomal RNA, 483 nt
Filed under: uncultured bacterium
Lineage: Bacteria
Description: partial 16S ribosomal RNA
Rfam family: Bacterial small subunit ribosomal RNA
Source: RNAcentral